CUUCGUCACAUCCGUUCCAUCCAAGCAGUGUGGAAGAGGAAGUGAGAUUUGGCAGAUUACUGGUUCCGGUUCAAUCUUCUGAACCAACCGCGAAACCUUCGCCAAUCGAUGAUAUCCGUAAUGGAUUGUCUUCUUAUUCUCGCAGUCGGGGCAUCUCUGCCGGUUGAGGGCACCGGCCUUCCUCCGGUGGAGCUCUGCCUUGUUCUGACACCAACAACAAGCACUGAUUACCUGCGUUGCGUUUGCGUGACGCAUUCACAGAUCCGACAGAGUAUUGAUUCCGUACAAGGGAUCUUCAUCCCUUAAAUAGCCGCGUAUUCAAACUAGCCGAUCAUACGCUCCUUGCCUUCGUCACAUCCGUUCCAUCCAAGCAGUGUGGAAGAGGAAGUGAGAUUUGGCAGAUUACUGGUUCCGGUUCAAUCUUCUGAACCAACCGUGAAACCUUCGCCAAUCGAUGAUAUCCGUGAUGGAUUGUCUUCUUAUUCUCGCAGUCGGGGCACCUCUGCCGGUUGAGGGCACCGGCAUUCCUCCGGUGGAGCUCUGCCUCGUUCUGACACCAACAACAAGCACUGAUUACCUGCGUUGCGUUUAUGUGACGCAUUCACAGAUCCGACAGAGUUUAGAUUUCGUCAGUCAGUGAUCUGUCUGGCCCUCAUCGACUCUGCCUUGUUGAUCAUCACUGAUUAUAGCCCACACAAAAAUCGACCCUUGGACUUGUUUGGAAUAAUAUUCCCUGUUGAAUAUCAUAGUCGAUGGAUUAAUUCUAUCGGUGUUGCAGUUUUGACCUAAACAAACGGCCCUUUUCAGGGCCACCAAUAUGUUAAAGAGUUGACGAAUAAAUAUAUUCCCUAGCAAAUAAAUAAUAAACCCGAAACUGCUGCACAAUAUCGUACCCUAAAUGUUACAAAUACGUAAUUAGAAAUUAGAAAUGUUGAGAUAGCAAACAGUUAAAACAUAACCGUUUCUCAUUGAGAUUUUUACCGCAGAGAAUAUCUUAAAUCACAAGUUCACGAGCUUCAUAUAUGUUGGAGAACAUUUUCAGUAAUUUGUUUUGACAUACCGAACUAAGAAAGAAAGGGAAUAUAUAAUUGGAAAGUUAUUUAUCAAAGAAUGUAACACUAUCAGAAAACGUAUUUCACCAGUGGUUAGUAUGCAACUAUUUUAAUAUUUGACUCAAAAGCUCCAAAACAUCAAAGUGUCCGACAUCCACUGUUUCCAUUCUUAAAUGGCUCCCCGCAGCAGCUUUAUAUUUUUGCAUGCCAAUAACACAAAACAUCGUAGUCCUACGUCACCAGUUCGUACAACCCCAUAGGGCUGUACCCUUAUA
Long non-coding RNA from Aedes aegypti (yellow fever mosquito), 1327 nucleotides. RefSeq lists it as uncharacterized. NCBI's taxonomy places the organism in Eukaryota, Metazoa, Arthropoda, Insecta, Diptera, Culicidae. The transcript is spliced from 3 exons. The record is from RefSeq and is a predicted model, not a curated record.